Molecule: long non-coding RNA, 6046 nt
Filed under: Homo sapiens (human)
Lineage: Eukaryota; Metazoa; Chordata; Mammalia; Primates; Hominidae
Description: non-protein coding LINC01237:7
Source: RNAcentral
GCUUCCUUCCCUUCCUGUGCAGGUGGUGGUGCCCUCUGCGCCUUCACUGGGGCCCAGCCAAGUAACUGAAUCCAGCCAGGAGCAAGGGCAGACGCUGGCACAGGUCCUGCCACUGUCCCCAACCUGGGUUUCAACACAGCUGAGGCCUGGCAUAGUCUUUCUGGGCGCCUCUGGCUGGCUCGGUCUGAAAGGCGCGGCCAGGUCACAGUCGGCACCAGAAGUUUGGCAGAUCUCAGUGAGGCGUUAGUUUGCAUUUCCUUGUGACGGGUGAGUUGAACACCCUUUCAUGAGUGUAUUGAUCACUGUGUACCUUCUUUGUUGAAAUGUCGUCAGUAUUUAAAGUCACAAAUCUUCCUCUAAGACUAUGCUACAAUUUUUGUGUAAUAUUUUGAUGGAUAUUUGAAAUAAGUGCUAAUUUUCUUUGGAUUUCUUCUUUGACCCAUGCUUUAUUUAGAAGAAUCUCUUUAUGUGUGUAUUUAUUUUUUAAACCCUCUAUUCUGAGAAGCAUAUUUAGAAGAGUAUUGCCCACUUUCCAAAUAUGUGGAGAGUCUAAAAGGAAUCUUGCUAUUACUGAUUUAAUUCCAUUUUGAUCAAGGAACAAACUGCAGGAUCUCACUUUUUAAAAUUACAGAGACUUAUUCUUACUGUUUAACAUAAGCCCUAUCUUUGUAAAUGCUCCGUAUACACUCAAAAAUUACUUGUGUUCUGCAGCUGUGGGGUGGGAUGCUCGCCAAGAGUUAAUGAGGUGCAGCUGGUUGACAGUGCUCUUUAAACCGGCGAAUCCUUCCUGUCCCACCCGCUGUGCUUGCAGUCCCGAGAGAGCUGUUACAUCUCCAACUAGGACAGUGAAUUUCUCUAUUCUUUCAGUUCCGUCCGUUUUUACUUCGUGUUUUUUGAAACUGUUAUUAUCUUUUUAGGCAUUUAGGAUUUUUCUGUGAUCCUGACAGUGGCUGACCAUGGUGUCAUCAUGGAAUGUCCCUCUUUAUCUUCAGGGGUGCUACCUGGUCUAAUGUGAGUGUUCCAGGGCUAUUUUCUUAUGCACAGAAUUGGCACUGUGUAUCUUUUCCUUUUUCUAUUCUUUUUUCUUUUUUUUUUCUUUUUCAGACAGAGUCUUGCUCCAUUGCCCAAGCUGGAGUGCAGUGGCGCGAUCUUGGCUCGCUGCAAGCUCCACCUCUCGGGUUCACGCCAUUCUCCUGCCUUAGCCUCCCGAGUAGCUGGGACCACAGGCACCCGCCACCACGCCUGGCUAAUUUUUUUGUAUUUUUUUUAGUAGAGACGGGGUUUCACCGUGUUAGCCAGGAUGGUCUUUAUAUCCUGACGUUGUGAUCCUGCCCACCUUGGCCUCCCAAAGUGCUGGGAUUACAGGCAUGAGCCACCGUGCCUGGCCACUUUUUUCCUUUUUUUUUUUUUUUUUGAGACAGGGUCUCACUCUGUUGCCCGGGCUGGAGUGCAGUGGUGCCAUCUUGGCUCACCACAGCCUCGACCUCCUGGGCUCAAGUGAUCCUUCCACCUCAGCCUCCAGAGUAGCUGAGACCACAGGUGUGCACCACCACACCAGGCUAAUUUUUUUUUUGUAUUUUUCAAACUCCUUUUUUUUUUUUUUGAGAUGGAGUUUCACUCUUGUUGCCCAGGCUGGAGUGCAGUGGCGCGAUCUUGGCUCGCUGCAACCUCUGCCUCCUGGGUUCAGGCAAUUCUCCUGCCUCAGCCUCUCCAGUAGCUGGGAUUACAGGCACAAACCACCAUGCCUGGCUAAUUUUUUUCGUAUUUUUAGUAGAGACAGGGUUUCACCGUGUUGGCCAGGCUGGUCUGGAACUCUUGACCUCAGGUGAUCUGCCUGCCUCAGCCUCCCAAAGUGCUUGGAUUACAGGUCAAACUCUAAGACUCAAGUGAUCCUCACUCUUGUGCCUACCACAAUGCUGGGACCACUCCUGGACCACUGUGGAUCUUUUUCUAUCCUUUAGACACCCAACCUGUCUUUGUAUCUUACGUGGGUGUCUGUAGAUGGAGUUGGGUCUUGGUGACAAUCCCUGCUUUGCACAUGGAGUUUCUCCAUUUGCAAUUCCAGUAAUGAUUGAUGAGGUUGCUGUAGAUCCCCCAUCUUGCUACUUGUUUUCUAAGUGUCUUAUCUUGUCAUUUGUUUUUUAUUUGUCAUUUUUUUGUUCCUUUGUUCCUCCAUUCCUGCCUUUUUUGGGUUAAUUGAAAUUUUUUAGUACUUCGUUUUACACCUCUGUUGGUCUUUUAGCUGUGCCUCUUGGUAUUACCAUUUUUAGUAGUUACCCUAAAGACAACAAAAUGAAUCCUUAAUUUAUCAGCCUAUUCACCUCACACAAAAUGUGGGAAACUUGUAACGGUGUAAUUCCUCUAACCCUGUUCUUCCUGUUACAGUUGCCAUAUGUUUAACCUCUACCUACAUUACAAACUCCGUAACACAAUGCUACUUUUGCUUUAGACAAUCUUUUGAAUAAAUUAAAGUUAACUUUUUAAGAAAUUAACUGUCAGUUGGGUGUGGUGGCUCAUGUUUGUGAUGCCCAAAUUUUAGGAGGCAGAGGCAGGAGGAUUGCUUGAACUUAGGAGUUCGAGACUGCUUUCGGAAACACAGUGAUACCUCGUCUAUUAAAAAGAAAGCAAACUAGCCGAGCAUGGUGGUGUGCACCUGUAGUUUCAGCUGCUCGGGAGGCUGAGGCAGGGGGAUCCCUGGAGCCCAGGAGGUUGAGGCCGCUGUGAGCCAUGGUCACUUUCCUCCCCAUCUCCCCUGUCCGGCAUCCACACAGCUCCUUCUCUGUUGUCCCAGGCCAACCCCAGCCCUGGUGCUAUGCCCUCCUCUCACUGCGCCCUUGUUUCCCCGAGCUCUGCCUCCUAUGGUGGCAGAGUGGGAGGGGGAGGGUGGGAAGCAUGGCUCACAGUUGGCUCCAUCACAGUGGCCCUGUAUUUGUCCAGUUUCACAGCCAUUUGCUGGAGGAACGCAGGUCCAGCACUGGCUACCCUGUCACGGCAGGGGUGACCUCUUACCAGCCUAGCAGCCCAGAGGCGCCCCAGGUGGGGAGGUGGCAGGUGGACACCGGGUCCCGUGUGUUGUGGCAGUGAAGCCUGCAGCCCACCAGAGCUCCAACAGCAGAGAAACAGGCUGUGAGUGUAAGCGUGGAAUUGCUGUGAGCCAUGGCGCCAGCAGCAUGUGCUGCAGAGACAGCUAAUCAAUUAGCCCCUCCGUGCUGGGUGCUGUGUGUGCACCAUUAAAGAGCUCACGGGGAGAGAAAUGCAGACUCCUCUGGGGGCCCCAGGGUGGAUUGCACCACUCAGCAUGUUCUAUUGAGUGCCUUUCCCUGCAGUGCGUGCUUUCUGAGGCUGUAAUUUUGAGUGUGUCUUUCAAGGCUGCAGCCCUUAAGCAGUACAGCCUGGGUGUUCAGCUGGAUAAUCCUGUAAGUGAAGUUUGAGUGGUUUAACUGCCUACAGCAGGUGGGAGCUCGGGUGGUGGGGAGCAUCUGGGGUUUCGAGGAGUCUGAGCCUCUGUGCAGGGCUGCAGGCUGUGGACGGGUUACGCGGGUGCUGGUCUUUAACGAGAGGACCUUCAGAGAGAUGCAACAAAACCCCAUGUGAGGCAGAAAUGAAGCCUCCGAGUUGUAUUGGAAGAGCUGCUGUCCGUGCAGCCACCACCCCCCUAAAUACUCUGUGAGGGUCCUGGCUCCAGUCCAUCUGUCUAUCAUCUUGGGAGCAGCCCAUGCCAGCCACGUUGUCCUCCAGGCUUCUCUGCACAGACCUGGCUGCUGCGGGGUGCAGGGCAUGUUGUUUGCACGUGUGCACUCCACCUCUCUUUCACAUGCGCGUUCUCUGUAACACUCAGGACAACCCCGUGAACUAGAAGUCAGGUCCCUUGUUGAACUGGAGUUGGCCUGAGAAAGAUCUUGGAGGAUUAAGGCAGAGCUUUGCUCUGGGUCUGCCUCCAGGAAGGUGCCUGAGUCUCCACAGGGGCUGUGCCACAGAAGCCCCCCACAGCUUUUGGAACCCCAGAGCCCUUCACUGCACAUUCGCCCUGUAGCCUCAGUCUCCAGGGACCUGGGAAAGCCCCAGCGUCAGCUUUUAUGUUCUUCUGCAUCACCGUGUCCUCUGCCUCGCUAUGAAUGAGUUUGUCAGGCCUCCUCCUUGGGGAGUGCGGUGGGGGCAGGUGGCAGACCUCGGGGCCAACAGAGAGUCAUUAAGUAAUCUCAUAGUGAACGUGGCCUGGAGUCUUGUUUUUCAGAUGGAAAAGGGAAAAUUGGGCAAAGUUUGUAGGAGAAAAAUACCAAGUUUUGUGGUGGUUGUGUUGAUGGAGGGGGUUGAGCUGAAUCUGAGAAGCAAGUACAUUUGAGGCUUGGCUGCCACACUCACGGACACUGCAGAGAAUGAGGAAAAAUGGCUGGUUGUGUUUUCUUUCCACUGCACAAAAGAAUAAUUGCUUUUGUUUACAGAUUUUCUGAAAUGUCCUUCCAAUUCCUUUGCCCCUGAAUUAUGAGCUGUGCCAGCUUGCGUGCAACAAAUGGGUCUUAUUGAGCACAAAUACAUGGGUGCAGAGCGUCUUUCGAAGAGGAGGCAUCAGGGAGCCUCCUCCGGUCUCCACAGCCCCUGACAGGAGGCUGCUUCUCGGGAUCCAGACCUGCCUGGGCUGCUUCAGUGGCCUCCCUGCCCUUCCCGGUGCGGCAGAUCUGUGCCCACAGCAACGCAUCCCCCGCACCUGCACCACCGCUCUUCCUGAGGCCCAGUGUUGAUCUCUUUGUGGCCCCAGUGAGGACAUUUUUGAGGCUUCAUGAUCUCUGUAGGAUGCUGUCCAGGCCCAUGCACACAGCAGGUGCAUCCGUGAGGCACACCUCAUAUCUUAGCACUGCUGUGCUGUGAUGCAAGUCCUCAGGGAGCUCGGCUCCACACUGUCACUCAGGGAUCCAGCAGCCCCUUCCACCUGUGGCGCUGCCGUCCUCUGGUUUGGCGUCCUCUCCGUUCAGUACACGGCCGGGGAGGAAAGUGAGGAGGCUGUUGCGAGGGUCUUAUGAGCCAGGGCCAGGAGUGGACUGCAUCACCCCUGCCCAAGUUUCUUGGCUAGAACUAGCUGUUUGGCCAAGGCAAACCCCUGAAGUGAAGGAUGCAGGCAGGGCCCACCUCUCUCUCUCUCUCUCUCUCUGCCAUUUGCCCCUCACCCCCACCCACCAGACCACCCGCGCCCCCCAAGGAGGCUGCCUCAAUGCCCUUCAGUAACCCACUUCUGUUGUGCAAAUUCCUCUCCAACAUUUCCUCUUCAGAGCGACUGCCCGAGAAAACUGGAUAAUCGCGCCUUUCCCUGUGUUUCUGUGGUUCUUUUAUAAUCCUGGUUUUAAAAUCUAAAAUAGUGCAUGCUGGUAUUUGCUUUUUAGGGUUGUAGAAGAAGGUUAACAAGGUACCACAAACCGGAUGGCUCAAAACAGCGGAUACUGUCUCACGGUUCUGGAGACCUGAAGUCUGAAACAAAGUGGUGAUGGGGUCGGUUCCCUCCGGAGGCUCUGAGGGGGAUGCAGUGGCUCUGAGGGGGCUGUGGGGGCUCUGAGGGGAGACUGGGGGUGGCUCUGAGGGGGAUGCGUUUCCUGCCUCUCUCCGCCAUGCUGGGGCUCGCUGCAUCUUCGUGCUCCUCUGCUUGUGGAUGCGUCACUCUGGCUCCGUUCUUCUUCACGCGGCAUCCGUCUCCCUGUGUUCUCUGCUUUAUAACGGCACCUGUCAUUGGAUGCAGGGACCGCUCUAAUCCACCAUGAUUCUAUCUGGAGAACCUAAACUUAAUUACAUCAGUAAAGACCCUUUCUCCAUGAGGUCCCACUCGCAGGUUCUCGGGGGACAUGUCUUUUGGGGCCACCAUUCCCCCAGCUCCGAUGCUCCUUUAAGCUCAUUAAGCUUCAUAGAGGGGAUUCAGGUGGGGGUGCCCUCGGUCUCACUCAGUGGGUGUCAGGGGGCGUAUCGCCUGCAGGCCGGCCCUUCUGCCCUCUCAGAGGCAGCCACAGCUCAGGUCAGGCUGGAGGGUGGGGUGGACUUCCUCCCUCCCUCCCCCUCACUGCCC